Long non-coding RNA from Herpailurus yagouaroundi (jaguarundi), 449 nucleotides. RefSeq lists it as uncharacterized. Lineage: Eukaryota; Metazoa; Chordata; Mammalia; Carnivora; Felidae. The transcript has 5 exons. The record is from RefSeq and is a predicted model, not a curated record.
CAUAACAGAAACAAAGAAAGCCACAGGCUGCUAGAGAUGACUCCUGCCAAGGUGGCAGCAGUAGGAGCCUAUAACCAACAGAUGAGAGGUGUAAAGCACACCAGACAGCAUAGAGCCAGCCAUGAGGCCACUGAGCACAGGGAAACAGCCAAGAUGAUGGUUGACUUCUCUGACAUGGUUGCAGCAGAGGAAAUGGAGAGAGAAGAGAAAGGAGAGAAAAUUAAGGGAGUAAGAAUCAAGUUUCUUCUGAAAUAAAGCAAAUCCCACAUCCACUGAAGAUGAUAUGUGGAAGUGUGACUUUGAGGGGAAAAAUGAUCAGGAGAUUAAGUGAUAAAAUGACAAUGAAGAUGAGGGAAGAGCAUCAAAUUCAUAUCAAAUAGACCCUUCUUCUGAAUCAAUCAUUUUUAAAUUAAAAAAAAGUUGUAUCGAUAAAGUCCAUACAAAUUUCA